GUCUAUGGCCAUACUGCCUUGAACGCGCAGAUCUGGUCUGAUCCCGGAAGCUAAGCAGGGUCGGGCCUGGUUAGUACUUGGAUGGGAGAAAAAGCUGGAAGCUCAGAGG
RNAcentral lists this ribosomal RNA (109 nucleotides) under Propithecus coquereli (Coquerel's sifaka). The record is from RNAcentral. Lineage: Eukaryota; Metazoa; Chordata; Mammalia; Primates; Indriidae.